RNAcentral lists this ribosomal RNA (253 nucleotides) under uncultured bacterium. Its description in RNAcentral is "partial 16S ribosomal RNA". It matches the Rfam family "Bacterial small subunit ribosomal RNA", at positions 524 to 776 of the family's 1533-position model. The record is from RNAcentral.
UACGGAGGGUGUAAGCGUUAAUCGGAAUUACUGGGCGUAAAGCGCACGCAGGCGGUUGGAUAAGUUAGAUGUGAAAACCCCGGGCCCAACCUGGGAAUUGCAUUUAAAACUGUCCAGCUAGAGUCUUGUAGAGGGGGGUAGAAUUCCAGGUGUAGCGGUGAAAUGCGUAGAGAUCUGGAGGAAUACCGGUGGCGAAGGCGGCCCCCUGGACAAAGACUGACGCUCAGGUGCGAAAGCGUGGGGAGCAAACAGG